CCUACGGGAGGCAGCAGUGGGGAAUUUUGGACAAUGGGCGAAAGCCUGAUCCAGCAAUGCCGCGUGUGGGAAGAAGGCCUUCGGGUUGUAAACCACUUUUGUACGGAACGAAACGGUCUGCUUUAAUAAAGUGGGCUAAUGACGGUACCGUAAGAAUAAGCACCGGCUAACUACGUGCCAGCAGCCGCGGUAAUACGUAGGGUGCGAGCGUUAAUCGGAAUUACUGGGCGUAAAGCGUGCGCAGGCGGUUAUAUAAGACAGUUGUGAAAUCCCCGGGCUCAACCUGGGAAUUGCAUCUGUGACUGUAUAGCUAGAGUACGGUAGAGGGGGAUGGAAUUCCGCGUGUAGCAGUGAAAUGCGUAGAUAUGCGGAGGAACACCGAUGGCGAAGGCAAUCCCCUGGACCUGUACUGACGCUCAUGCACGAAAGCGUGGGGAGCAAACAGGAUUAGAUACCCUGGUAGUCCACGCCCUAAACGAUGUCAACUGGUUGUUGGGUGCAUUAGUACUCAGUACGAAGCUAACGCGUGAAGUUGACCGCCUGGGGAGGACGGCGCGAGUAAGUAACGUACGAAGAAGUAGAGCGUGAGAGNGCGAGGACGACGACGAGGAGGAGG
This 616-nucleotide ribosomal RNA is filed under the name uncultured bacterium. RNAcentral describes it as "bacterial SSU rRNA". The stretch from base 1 to 541 matches the Rfam family "Bacterial small subunit ribosomal RNA", at positions 338 to 873 of the family's 1533-position model. The record is from RNAcentral.